This 1008-nucleotide long non-coding RNA is filed under the name Fragaria vesca (wild strawberry). Its description in RNAcentral is "long non-coding RNA (FVES_LNC004046)". Lineage: Eukaryota; Viridiplantae; Streptophyta; Magnoliopsida; Rosales; Rosaceae. The record is from RNAcentral.
AGCCAUGAGGGAAUAUGUGAGAAUAAAAGGGAUUAAGGCUGCAAGAUAUUUGCAGAGGGAGAAGACAGGUCGUUAAGCCUGCUCUGGUACCAUAUAGGAAAAGAUGGUUUGGCUGAAUAAAUCAAUUGUAUUCAUCGUGUAGUAAUAUAUACAAAUCACCUACCCUACGUCUGUGGUUCUCCUACAAGUUAGGAAACCAAUUAAGAAGGAAUCCUAUUACAAUUACUACUCAAACAAGAGAAAGAUACAGAAUAUUCUAGCUAAUGUGAUCUACUGCAGUAAAUACAAAAUCUGCGUGCAUAUCAAGUAAACUAAACAUGAUUAUGUAAGAUGCACUUUCCAACAGUGGGCUUCUUAAAAACUAAACCAGAUUUGUUACCUUCAUAAUAUUUGUGCGAGUCCAGGAGAUAGAGAUAUACAGGGGAAACAUCUUAGAAAAUUAAGGAAGAAAGAAAAAUUAAAGUAGAAAUCGAGCAAACAAGCUUGAUGAUCGAAUUCUAGGUAAUUUAGACCAAAUGAUAGAUAAAUAUUAAGUGAAAAUGGACCAAAUGGGUAUUAUUUGUUGGGGAACAAUCAUAUAUUUGAUUAUAAAUAUGAUAGAAAUUUCAAUAAAGAAUAUUAGAAACAUAACUAUAUACAUCUAAGAUUGUAAGUAGUAAAUCAAUCCUAAUAUAGGAGUGAAAUAGUGUAAGAAUCCUAUAAAAGAAGUAUAAAGAAAAGAAAGAACUGACUUGAUUUUCCGAUUGAGGCAUGCAAAAAUGCACUUGACUAAAGACAGAUUUCGCCCCUACCCUUGUGCUUGUAGUUCAAUGGGCGUCCGCCUUGUAGAAUACAACAAUCGAUGAUCCAAGAUUGAAGCACCGCAAUUUUAGACUCUAGCGAACCAUAAAUUGUAUCUUGUACUCUCUUGACUCGAAGAAUACUUGUAGAAGAAAUGAUGAAUCUUAAUCUAAUCUUUAAGGAGAAAUGAGUAUGGGUUUAUAUAGAACCCAAGUGAACCAACAUGUC